Molecule: unclassified non-coding RNA, 221 nt
Filed under: Hevea brasiliensis (rubber tree)
Lineage: Eukaryota; Viridiplantae; Streptophyta; Magnoliopsida; Malpighiales; Euphorbiaceae
Source: RNAcentral
CCUGUCAAAUCUACCAAACCUUCUUAAGGCAGGGUCAAUGCUAUUGGGGCGAUUAGUGGCACCCAUAACAAUUACAUGGGCACGUGACUUAAGUCCAUCCAUAAGUGUCAAAAGCUGGGAGACAAUCCUCCGCUCCACCUCUCCAUUUGUCUUCUCACGUUUAGGAGCAAUUGAAUCAAUUUCGUCGAUGAAAAUAAUUGAUGGUGCAUUCUUCUCAGCUU